This is a long non-coding RNA of Hippocampus comes (tiger tail seahorse), 244 nucleotides long. RefSeq lists it as uncharacterized. The transcript has 3 exons. NCBI's taxonomy places the organism in Eukaryota, Metazoa, Chordata, Actinopteri, Syngnathiformes, Syngnathidae. The record is from RefSeq and is a predicted model, not a curated record.
AUCCUGAGUAAAACUGUGAGAGUCUGCUUCGCUUAAGAUCUGCCGGAAGUCAGACGCCACUUCUGUGAAGUUCUGGAAACACAAAAGAAAUGAUUGCCAUCAAGAGCGACGCGGCAAACAUCCUGGACGUCGACCGUUCCAUUGUCUACAUUGUGAUCCAAGUUGCUGAUUCAUCUCAGAGAAAUGCCGGCUGAGCUCCUUCACCCUGCGAGAAGACAGCGUAGUAUUCAGAAAGGCGCCAACU